GUGUUGGUUGAUUAUGGUCUAUAUACAGUAUGGCUGGGCGGUAUACAGUACAGAGGGACUUCCUGGAUUGCAGCACCAGGUCAGAGAGAGUAACAGACUGGGGACAUGAAGUGACAGUUCACACCCAUGAGAGACAUACAGGGUUCCUGAUCAACAGGAGGAGAGAGCACACAGAGAGACCAGUGGACACCGACAGAGAUAGUGACAAUAAGAGAAAGAGGAAAGAGACCCCGGUACUGUGAUUGAUUCAUCAAGGAGUGGAGGCAGGAUGUGGGUCCUCAUCUCGGCAGCUCUACUUCUCUCUCUGACAGAGAGAGCCACAUGCAACGGACAGCAACAACCACCAGCAACAGCAUCACCCUGGACCAUCACCUUCAGUCCAGCAGAAAUAACAGCAGAGAAGGGACUAUGUGCUGUUAUUUCAUGUACUUUCACUCACCCUUGAUGACAUCAAGCCUACCACUGCAAUAUGGUUCAAGUGCCCUACAAAUGGCAGAUGUGAUAAGGAUGAAAACAUAAUUUUCCACUCUGAAACUCCCCAUAAAGCUCAGGAGGAUUUUAAACAGAGAGUGUCUCUACUGGAGACUGAUCUGACAAAGAAGAACUGUAGUGUGAUCAUCAACGACAUCAAGAAGAAUGAUGCUGGAGAGUAUCAAUUCAGACUGCCAAGUUCAUAUACAUACUCGAAGAAAGUGAAAAUCACAGUGAGCGCUCUGACCCAGAAGCCUCAGUGUUGACUCCUCCUCUGACAGAGGGA
Non-coding RNA from Salvelinus sp. IW2-2015, 757 nucleotides. Lineage: Eukaryota; Metazoa; Chordata; Actinopteri; Salmoniformes; Salmonidae. The record is from RefSeq and is a predicted model, not a curated record.